AAUAGGGUGAGGGGUCCUUACUCGUUUCGUGGUCCGAACACGGCUUCACAGUGCGCCUACAGGCUGUCCCUAAUUUUCCCUGAAUUUUUUUCGGGGAACUGAAACGCACUACUGGUACCGGCGGCGGCGCUCUCGGGUGCGGCGGCUCUCCGGCGAGGUUCGUGUUUUGGUGAUUCGGCUCCGGUCAACCUCGAUCGGCGGUCGGAAGUUCCUCCGGUACGGCGGCGGGUGGCGGCGGCCGGCUUCUGGUUCGUCUUCUCCGGCGAGCGGCAGGCGGCUCGGGUUUGUGGUCUGGUGUGGGGGUUCUAUUUAUAACCCCUUGCCCUUUGAUCUCAGCCGUCCAUUUUGAUUUAAUCUGGG
Molecule: long non-coding RNA, 360 nt
Filed under: Carica papaya (papaya)
Lineage: Eukaryota; Viridiplantae; Streptophyta; Magnoliopsida; Brassicales; Caricaceae
Description: long non-coding RNA (CPAP_LNC001200)
Source: RNAcentral